This is a non-coding RNA of Nicotiana tabacum (common tobacco), 9580 nucleotides long. Lineage: Eukaryota; Viridiplantae; Streptophyta; Magnoliopsida; Solanales; Solanaceae. The record is from RefSeq and is a predicted model, not a curated record.
ACUAGGUGCCGUCACGAUGGUUCACGGAAGGCGAACCAGGGUCGUGACAGUGAGCUAAAUCUCUGAUUCUAAUAGUUAAGAGACAAAUGGAUAAAUUGUUAAUGCAGUGGUACUUUUCAAGGUAGAACCUUGGAUUGUUCUUUUUUUCUGAUCCUUCUAAACUUAAGUUUCAAGAACCAUAUACAGGAGUGAUGAGAUAUACAUGGCUGCGUGAAGGAACCAACUCCGAUAUUAUUUUCUCUAAUAUCUUUUCGUUUGAAGUCUUGCUUUCUCUCUUACUUUGCUAUUUCAUAUGUCUUUCUCUAGCCAGUUCUCGUUUACAGUUGUGUUUCUUGCAGAAAAUAUUGUUUACAAUUGAAGGGGAAAACAACAUCAAGCAGAAGUCAACAACUGUGUACCUUGUCCUCCAUGGUGGCUUCUAACCUUUUAUUGGUGGUCGUUAUGUUGUGUCGGGUGUCGUUACUUUCUGUUUAGUCGUCUGUUGUUUUCCAUGAUGUGCAGUGUCGAUUGGGAAACUGGAGUUGAAUUUUCGUGUGGUUCUGUUUAUUGUGACUGCUGCGUUUUGGUGUUGUGAAUAAGCAAGAGGAUGCAUAUUUGAAUAUCCUGUGCUCUUUUGGUGGUAGUUUGUGAAUUUUGUCUUGCUCCCCUUUCACCAUUGAUGGAGCUGAUCUACAUUUCCUCUGAUGCCACUCCUGCUUGAUAAUUGAUGGUCAGGAGGGCAGAAGACGAUAUUGACAAUGAUGAGAGGAGAGCAUUAUGCACCUCUAUUCACUUCUUUAAUAUCGGCUCUGGCAGGCUGUUUGGUAAUUAUGCUUAGCAUUCCUAGCUUUUACUUGGCUUCUAGCUUAAGAUUGAUUCGACAACAUCAGGUCCUGGAUUUUUUCUUCACUUCAAGUAUUUUGAAUCCUAGAUCUAAUUUUUCCAGUUAGGAUAUCUCACGUCCUCGGCAGUACGUGUUACUCACAGUGAGUUUGUGUUCAACAGCGACAAGGUAGACUUUACUGAUAAAAACUGCAAUAAGAGACGCACAACAAGCUUACUUACUGGUUUUCUAGUAAUAAGUAUAAGGCGAUUUAAUAAUCAACAGUGCUUCCAACUUUUUUGGGAUAAGGUUCGACGCUGCAUACAUUUCAGACAACCUUGAUCCGAGUGACAUCACCAAAUGAUUUUUUCUGAAUCUGGAAGAAAUUCGAGCACCACGAGGCUGACGGUAAUUAUCUUGGUAUGAAGUUGAUGCCAUAUGGGCAGUUAAAAACUAUUGGAGCCUCUGCUGAUACUGUUGGCUCCAAUGAGGCUCCAACAAGGGGAGCACCCUAAUUAGCAACUACUCAUGGAGUGCAUAUCAUCUCUUGAGGUGCAUCACUUGAGUCUUCCCUAUCUCUUUUCCUUCAAAUAGAGGGGCAUGAGUUAAGCAUAUAGUUGAUUGCUCUUUCGUCUCUCUCUGUAGGCUAACAGAGCCACUGCUCUUCGAGGUGAUGAGGUGUAAGGAAUAUAAUAUCUAAUAGCAAUAAGAAAGAAGGUAUAUAAUAUCUAACGCUAAUAGUUAAAGACCACUGGUUAAACUGUUUAUGCAGCUCUAUUCUUUAAGGUAGAAUGUUGGAUUGCUUGUUUUCUCCGAUCCUUCUAAACCAAGUUUCAAGAACCAUAUACAGGAGUGUGAUGAGAAAAUAGAGUGUGAAGCGAGACCACCAUCAGACGGCCAUUCUCUUCCCAUAGUUUUCCCUUUCAAGUCUUGUUUUCUCUCUGACAUCGUUAUUUCAUGUAUUUUUCUCUUAGGUAAUUUCUCAUGUAAAAUUGCAUCUGAAGACAAAUGUCUCGGUUGUUUUACACCUGUUACGGUAAUUAGAGCAAGGCAAUGACAGCGUCCGAGAACUUACUCAAUUUGUCUGUAUGUGCCAGCCCAUGAAAGACUGGGUACUAUAAGAGUAAUAUUUAUUAGUUAUCUGUUAAACAUUUAUGUACAAGAUGUCUGCUACAAUUCUAAAAAAAGCAUUUGUACGAGAUGUGAAAGGAAUUUUGAGCAGUUAUGUUGUUGAUCAGGCAAAGUUGUCAAUUUGUUGCAUCAAUGGUCAAAGGGGGCAAGAAUAGAGGCUCUCCAGGGGCUCUGUUUAUGGGCUAUUCUGGAGGUUAGGAUAUCUUUGUUUCCUUUUUCACUUCGGCACAUUUUAUGCUUUUAGACAUUAUAUGUGAAUUUUUAGUGCUAUUACUUGGGUACAUUGGGCUCUAACUAUUUCUCAACACUAGUGGCAGUGUUGUACCUUCACUUUCAUCACUUGGGCUUCAUGGUGGUAAGCUUUGAAGGAAGGUCUCCAGUUCUCAUGGGUCAUCUAUAUAUGUCAUUGGUCUUUUGCAGGAGGUGCUCAACAUGAAAUGUUGGGAGGAAUAGUGAGGGAUGUCAUUUUCACUGUUCUCAAAAAGGGAAAAAAAGAGAGGCGAUUGUGAAUUGCGAUGGAAUUGUUAUGAUGCACAAUUAAUUUGCUUACUUCUACUGUCUUAACAACCUGCACGUUGGUCUGUUGUGCUUCUUUUGAGUUUUCUUUUUGGUGGGUGCUUUCAAGGUUAGUUCGUUGAUCAAUCACUAUGUGCCAGUUGGCUUGAUAGUAAUGAGGAUUGAUGAGGGUAUUCUGCAUAUAGAAGGUUUUUGACUUGCUAUAUUAUGAGUAAAAGUGCCUUAUUUCAAUUGAAUCAUGCAUGUCAUGUCUUGUGGUACCCAUGCAAUUGGUCUAGCUAGUUUAUUUUGUCGAACCAAAGGAGGGAGAAGCAAAGAAAGAGCUUGUUUUGAGCCCGGUAUUGGAAAUCUCCUCUUUAACUUUGAGUUAUCUCAUCCUUUUUCGGUGUUUACGCGCUAAUCUCAAUUUCUUUAGUGUACUCACGUUGUUUAGGUAAGGUUAUGUCGGCUUGGUACACACUUUGACUAAUGCAUCGGGUACUUGCUACUCCCGCAAGCAUAUGUAUCUGGUAACUCUAUUUAUAGAAGAUUACUUGGUGUCUGUUUGGACCCUUGUUCCCAUGGUCCAUCUUGCUUCAUUACCCGCUAGGCAGCUUUAAUGUUGAGUCGGCAUCAUUGAUGCGAGGUGAACUUUUCAGUUGAUCCAUUUGGGAAGAAAGGCGUUAGCAUCCUGGAGUGCGUGAAGUGACUGUUUUCUUAAACAGGCUUGCACUGAAAAAAAGCUAUGCGGACAAUGACGAGACUGGAUAGUUGAGGUUUUUGGUGUUGAACACUCGCUUCCACUUGACUCGUCUUAUGGUUGUCCUCUGCGUUGUCAGGAAUAUUUAUCGCUGAUCUUGCCUCUGAAGCUGCUCUUGAGGUGCAAUGGGCAAGGUGGAUUUGCUUUCUCGUGGUUCUGAGCAUGAGGGUUGAGAUGGAAAAAUGAUAGCAGUGGAGCACCAAAGUUUGCACAUCAUCUUUGUUCAGAUAUACUUGCAUCUGUUCAAUGUGACUUUUUCUGUGGUUUUUUGGAUACAUGCUGAUGUUUAUGCACGUAAAUGGGCUUUCAGAAUGAAUGUGAAGCAAGUCCCGGAUUGUGUUCAGCUAUGGGUAACUGUGUGAAGAAUUUGAUAGUUUUAAUUGUGGGUAGUUGUUCUGCUUCGAGUGCUGGUGUGGCGGAACUUCUGAGUUAUUCUCUUUGAGAAAGAUUACAUGCCUGAUUAAUUGCAUGUAUCUGUCAUCAAUGUAAUUGGUUGGGAGGUUGUGAUUUUUGUGGCCCCACUGGUGGGAGAGGUUGGACUGCUGCUUGAUUUGAAUAUCUUAACGUUUGGCUUUGACUCAUGGAUGGGUCUCGUGUAUGUGGAUAAGCGUUGUUGGUGGUAUGGAAGUCCUACAGUUUACCUGUUCAUACAGAGUCCAGGCAAAUCUUAGCAUGUUGAAGCAGCAGAUUUGUUGGUGCUAUUCUGCUGCUUCCUCAUUUGUGGACAACUAUGCGAAUUUGGUCUCUAUCUAUCUAUUACUUUCUUCAUCUACUCGGAGAUUUGGCAGUGCUAUGGUGGCUGUACUACUCCAUUAGUCUUACGUGUCUAAUUUUUACAUGUUCUCGAAUGUCUUUAGCUACUUUGUUGGUCUUUGUGUCUAAGAGGAGGGUAUAGAUGUCUUUCCUGUUCACUCUGGUCAAUUUGGUACAGUAUUGGCGAUGGUUUUGCUUUUGCAGGAGGCAUAUGAAGAGUGCGAGAAGAUGCAAAGGGUUGCCAUAGAGAACUCUUUCCUACUGAACAUUGGAUUAUACCUCAUGAACACUACAGCAGUCAAUCGAGAGUCUUCUACACAUUUAGAAAGUUUCUGUAUAUUCCCGAACCUACGAGAAGGUUAGAACCUUUGGGAGGUACUUCCGUUCUAAUUUUUAGCAGUUGUAGAUCUGCGGGUCGCCUCUUGCUGUGUUGCACGAUUAUUCUGAUUCAAGCAUUCAUGCUUCUAUUCAAUGUAAGACCUACUGCAAUUCUUUCAAGCACUGGAUCAGAUGGGGCACAGAAGGAGAAGUGGUUUCUGUUAAAGCUCUAGCUAUCAGAGACUACACAUUAUCUUUGAUAUGAUCAAGCGGUGCAACAGAUUCUAUUAAUUACCUCCCCCCCCCCCCCCCCCCCCCCCCCCCGGCGCAGCAGAUUUGAAGUUUUUCUCCCUUAAGUUCUGUUGGUUGUGUUGAGCAGCAGAAUGGCGAGUAGUAGACCUAUAAUUGGGGUGGCUGCAAUCUGUUUCUGUCUUGUCUUGAGUUUUGACAAGAAGCAGUUGUGUUUCUGAUGGGUUGGCUCAGUUUUCUGUUGAAGUGGUGUUUUGCUUCUUCAUUUUGACCGUUUUGGGUUCUCUUGCUAGCUGCGAGCAUAGUUGCUUCUUUCAAUUAUAUGGACGGGUCUCCAAUAUCUAAGGAGCAGGGCGUAGAUCUUAUUUGUGAGUACAUUCCUUGCCUUUCUAGUAGAAUAUGUGUUUUCUAAAUCGUGAGCCGCACAAGAUAUUAGCCAAAUAUUAACAAUUUAGGGUAGUAUCUCAGCUUUGAAUUUACAGUCUAGCUCAUGUGUGCUGCACAGUACGAACCCUCUUUGGAGUUAUCAGGGGCAGAUUUUAUCGUGGUUUUUGAUUCUGUCUUGGUUUGGAAUUACUUGAGGCCCUACUGGUGGUGGAGAACUAUCCCAGCUGCUAUCUGGUGGACUAUUUGGAAGGAGAGAAAUGCAAAAUGCUUUGAAGAAUACAGCUAGCUGUAUGCAGAAGAUAAAAAAACAACUGUAUACUUCCGUCCUCUUUUUGAUGUAAAGAGGAUCUGAUAAAUGAUGCAGAAGCUCUGUUAGACACAGUUGAUUCCAUGCUGCUUUGAUGUGAAGCUGUAUAUUUCUUGUAAAUAUGCAAGCACAAUUCAUGCUGCUUUUAUAAUACUUACCCUUUUCUCAAAAAAAGAAAUUACUUAAGGCGCGCCUUUUUCAUUUUUAACGAGGCAUUGUAUUCCUAUGUUGCGCGGACUCUCCAAAAUGCUGCUACACCCGUAUCGGAUCCUCCAAAAAUACACUACUUUUGGAGGAUCCCACACAUAUCCAACGACAUUUUCGGAGAGUCCGAGCAACAUAGUUGUAUUCCAUGAGUUUUAAAUGUCUUUUGAGACUUGGACUCAAAAGGUGGAUUAUGCGAUUGGAUCUGAAGCUUAUCUCAUUCUGUUUUCAAGAUUUUCCUUAUUCUCCUUCCUUCUGUGAUGUCUGUUGUUGAACUUUUGGCUACAGGGAAGAUCACUUAGACUUGAAAUUUCCUGUAUUGGUCGUUAUCAGCUGUUCGUAAUUUUUGGAUCAUUUGCUUAUAGGGAAUUUAAGUUCAGCGUUCAAGUGGUUGGAAAAUCUUGGUGAAGGAUUCCAAUGUGCUUUUAAUUUUUCCCUUUUGUUUAUCUGGAUGAGAAGAGGUUACUCUUGAAAAUAUUUGGUUGGAAGGUCAAUCAGGUCUGGAUUCUCAUGUGGACGUUGCCGAAUUUUUUCUAAAUUCUCGUAACAUUUCAUCAAGGUUGCAAAGUGAGAGAUAGACUAGAUCUCUGUUUUGACAACUAAGUGAUAGAUAGACUUAAUCUUCACAUAUCUUCUUAUUUGUUUUAUCUUCAACUAUCUUCCCAAUAACUAAUGACUACUAGUGUCCUGUUUUACCUUGGUUCCAUGCUAUCUGAUAUUUCAUGGCUUUCUUCUUGGUGCGGCUGUUGUUGAGGUUUACAUAGAAGGUUCAAUUCUUUUUUUUUUUUUGUCGUCCGUUUGUGUGCUGCUUUCAGCUUUACUGAAAUUUGCUAUUCCUUUGGUGCUUAUCUUUGGGAAUUUACCGGAAUUUCACCCAGUGAAUCCUUCAAGCUCAAAGCUUCCUUAUGCUGCAGGUAUUUGAAGGCGUUCUCGAUAUGAUGUGCGCGAUUUGAAUAGUACAUUGUGGUUUUUUUGUCAGGGUAUUUAUCAUCUUCUCAAGCUCAUGAGAUUUAUUAUGGUCCCGUUUCUGGUUGUGUGACCAGGAGAUCAAGUAAUUAUUCAACCCUGCAGCUUGCUCUUUUGUUGGACUUCAGGAAUAUGCUAAAUUCAGAUGGUUAUAUAAUUAGAUGGAGGGAGUUCAUUUUCCAGUUACGAGCUUGCAACCAUGGUUAGAUCCUGUCCGCCCCAAGGAAAAGGGAGUUCCUUCUCUCUUCACUUACAUGUGUGAUGAUUUUGUGGGUGGGCUAGGAUUGUGCUGACUUUGAAGUUGUACGUGGUCCCUGCUUUCUAGCUUUCUGUGCUUUUGGUGUUGGAAGUUUCAUAGCAUUGUGAAUGGGACCUAUUACAUGAUGGGUUCACUGAUGAUGAUUAAUAGAAUUUCAGCCCUUGUUUUAUGGUUUAUGUGCUGGCUUCAUAGUUAUUUGUUUCCUAAGAUGUUCCUGCCAUUCAGCAGCUGCAUUGAGUUCUUUUUUAUGUCGGAGAGUUGUAUGGCUACCUAUAAGAGGAAAACAUGAUAUUCUAAAUUCUGUGUUGCGGAUGUAUGCAUGCCAAUUAUGUGUAUUGCCAUUUGAUACCCGAGUCAUGUUUGAUCACACGUUGGUGGGGUAGCAUCCAUUACAUGAAAGCUGGACAACUGCUCUAUUUGUAGUAAGUUGAUUAGUUUUCUUUGAACAUCCCUUGUUUCCAAAUUAAGGAUAGAAACUUGUGGUUGAAACGAUCUAAAUAGAUACGUUCUUUUCGUUUUCUGAACCGUUGGCUGUGGUUACUGAAAGAAUGAAUGUCUAAGUCGUGGCUGUUCUUAGCAGGACUCUGACCUGACAUUUCUGUGCUAUUUGGAAAGCGAGGCUCGCUUUCAAUUCUGUAAAAUAUAUUUUUGUGACUCUUGUUCAACACAAAAAAAAAGAAAAGGAGAACGAUCUUUCAAGUAGCCCUCACUAAGGUUUAGCUCGUGAGGUGCUUUAGAUGCACGUGGUUCCAAGUUAAUGCCAGAUAAAAAGGAUUUCGGUUUUAGUUUUCCAUGCAAUGGCUCAGGACGAGGCGGUACUUGUGAUAUUUCGGCAUGGGACACAUUUUUAUUUGGCAGUUUUUUGGAUAUUAAAUACUAUUGGAUAGGUUACUUUUUAUUGGCAUUGGAAGUACACCACAUUAUGGCAGCGUAACAUUUCACAGUUUAAUGAAUCUUCCACUUAUUUGAUGGGCUGGUUACGGGAUUAUUUAUGGUUAAACUCUUCACAGCUUAUUAACGGAUAUAAUCCUUUUGGGAAGCGCGAAGAUGGAAGAGGUCGUAUAGAAGAAGCACGAAGGCAGAAGAUAUUGCAGGGGUGGUCAGUAGUACAUUAGUUGAUUCCUUGCAUGUUUACAAGCAAUUUAGAAGUAUGAUUCAGAGCCAACAAGCUGGUGGGGUAAAAAAGAUUUGAGUUUUGCCAGGGAAACCUCAAAUCAUCUUCUUCUUCACUGGCCUUGCUGGAGAAAAGAUACCGCCCAGAACUUGAGGUAGCUGGAAAUAUUUUUGGGUCCUCCUCCUUCAGGUGCCAUUACCAUUGCUAGGGGAAAAACAACAUUGUUGGAAAGAUAACGAUCGUGGAAAUUUUUUCGAAGGACCCAAAUCUGCUUUUCUUCCCUUGUCUCUUCUUCAAUUCAAAUGCACACCGUGGCCAGGAUAUGCCGGAAACACGGAGUGUUGCCAGAAUCUUCUUUUACGGUCAACACGUCUUCACCGUCUCUCUUUCAGUUAACUUUUCUUCAUGGUUGAUGUGUGUUUUCUCCAUUGGUUUUGUUUGCCGCGUCAACAAUAAGUUGAACAUGGGUUAGAAUUAUCAUAUUUGUGUUCAACACACACAUUUUGACAACAUAAGGUGCUUAAUAGGCAGGCUCUUGGAUGCAUUUCUUCUCUCUUGUUUUGUGCAACAUGGCCCUUGAAAAUGACAUUGUUGCCAUAGUUGACUUUCUGAGCUCACUACACAAUUUGUAAUGUGGAUCCACUGCGAUUAUCUCUACUGCACUUUCUUGCUGCUGAUAUUAAUAUAAUACUUUUAACAAUCAAAAAAUAGGUUGAGAUGUCUAAUUAAAAAUCCUAAACAAGCCUAAAAGGCCGCUAUUCUGCCUUUGGUAUAUUGAACUAGAAAAAGGAGCUAUGGAUAGUAUUCGAUCGGCGUGCUUUAACGUAUACUACUUGAUGUUUGAAAUGUUGAUUGUCAAAACCAAUUUUAUGACAGUGUUAAUAAUUUUUGGGAUUCAGACUAGAGUUAAAUGUUCGUAUGAUGUAUGAAAUCUUGUUAAAGCUAUAAUUAGUUACAGGCUUGAAAAACAGGUAAGUCAAUGCUUGAACAAUAUUCUGAUGCAAAACUAAGUGAGAUACCCUGUCUUGUUUCUUUUAUUUUGACGGUAUCAGUUUCUUUCAUUGUCAUACUAAGUUCUUUUCCUGUUUUGUAAUUUUCUGUUAGCGGAAAUUUGAUUACGGCAGCCAGUGCCUUUUUUAAUGUAUGCUGAUACCAAUUUAACUGAAGCCAAUGGCGCUGUGAUCUAUGGUUAUUUGGAAGUUACAAUUGUAUCAGAUUCAAUGGUGUUGACCAAUUCCGUAAACGAACUCAUGGCAGAUACUCUGCAAUGUGCACUGUCAUGGGAAGUCAACAACACUGUGGACCUACUAGUUAACUGGAGUCAACAUUUAGGAUCAAAUUCUCUUCAUGGAAGCUCUAACACGAUAGGUAGCGAGGAGUCUUAAUUGUUUUUUCAUGUAUAGUUCUGUUGGGGUGCAGAUCGGAUCUUCCCAAAAUAAUGCAUUUUUAGAGGAUUCGACACGGAUGGGCAUUUUGAAGAAUCCGCACAACAUAGCUAUUGUACACCAGUUUGGUAAACGGAUGAACUGGCACUUGGGUUCCUUUUUCAUGUAUUCUCCUUUUGGUUAUUAACAUGCUGUUAGGGGUUAUAGACAGCCUAAUCCCCCGCAAUGGACCUAUUAAUUAAGAAAAGAAAGGCUUUGGGACUCGUGCAAUGUGAUGUCUUAUUUCUUCUUUUCUUUUUCUUUUUUUCUGCCCGAGCCCGAGGAGAAUUUCGUAACAGAGCUGGGCAAUCAAUAGAAAAUGACCCCGCAAAGGGCUGCCCGAUAGAGGUGUUAUUUCUCAAGUUUGUUUUCAUUACAAGAUAAUCAGAAUAAGAGAUGAUUUUUUUGCUA